This 119-nucleotide ribosomal RNA is filed under the name Pteropus alecto (black flying fox). Lineage: Eukaryota; Metazoa; Chordata; Mammalia; Chiroptera; Pteropodidae. The record is from RNAcentral.
UUCUACGGCCAUGCCACCCUGAACGUGCCGGAUCUCAUCUGAUUUCGGAAGCUAAGCAGGGUGGGACCUGGUUAGUACUUGGAUGGGAGACUACCUAGGAAUACCAGGUGCUGUAGGAG